GUGCCAGCCGCCGCGGUAAUACAGAGGGUGCAAGCGUUAAUCGGAAUUACUGGGCGUAAAGCGUGCGUAGGUGGUUGGAUAAGUCAGGUGUGAAAUCCCCGAGCUUAACUUGGGAAUUGCGCUUGAGACUGUCCGGCUAGAGUGUGGUAGAGGGUAGUGGAAUUCCGCAUGUAGCGGUGAAAUGCGUAGAUAUGCGGAGGAACAUCAGUGGCGAAGGCGGCUACCUGGACCAACACUGACACUGAGGUACGAAAGCGUGGGGAGCAAACAGGAUUAGAUACCCGCGUAGUCC
RNAcentral lists this ribosomal RNA (292 nucleotides) under uncultured bacterium. RNAcentral describes it as "partial 16S ribosomal RNA". It matches the Rfam family "Bacterial small subunit ribosomal RNA", at positions 505 to 796 of the family's 1533-position model. The record is from RNAcentral.